Molecule: ribosomal RNA, 864 nt
Filed under: uncultured Methanocella sp.
Lineage: Archaea; Methanobacteriati; Methanobacteriota; Methanomicrobia; Methanocellales; Methanocellaceae
Description: bacterial SSU rRNA
Rfam family: Archaeal small subunit ribosomal RNA
Source: RNAcentral
UUCCGGUUGAUCCUGCCAGAGGUCACUGCUAUCGGUGUCCGAUUAAGCCAUGCGAGUCGAGAGGUGUAAGACCUCGGCAGACUGCUCAGUAACACGUGGAUAACCUGCCCAAGGGUCCGGGAUAACCCCGGGAAACUGGGGAUAAUACCGGAUGGGUCACCAGUGCUGGAAUGCUUGGUGGUCGAAAGGUGACGCCUUUGGAUGGGUCUGCGGCGGAUUAGGUUGACGCCGGUGUAACGUACCGGCGUGCCUGUAAUCCGUACGGGUUGUGGGAGCAAGAGCCCGGAGAUGGAUUCUGAGACACGAAUCCAGGCCCUACGGGGCGCAGCAGGCGCGAAAACUCUACAAUGCAGGCAACUGCGAUAGGGGGACAUCGAGUGGCAUCCACCUUGGGUGUCUGUCCAACCGUCUAAAAAACGGUUGUUAGCAAGGGCCGGGCAAGACCGGUGCCAGCCGCCGCGGUAAUACCGGCGGCUCGAGUGGUGGCCGAUAUUAUUGAGUCUAAAGGGUCCGUAGCCGGCUUUGCAAGUCCCCUGGGAAAUCCGGCGGCUUAACCGUUGGGCUUUCAUGGGAUACUACAUUGCUUGGGACUGGGAGAGGUAGGAGGUACUCGGGGGGCAGGGGUGAAAUCCUGUAAUCCUCCGGGGACCACCGGUGGCGAAGGCGUCCUACCAGAACAGGUCCGACGGUGAGGGACGAAAGCUAGGGGCACGAACCGGAUUAGAUACCCGGGUAGUCCUAGCCGUAAACGAUGCCCGCUAGGUGUCACGACGGUCGUGAAUCGUCGUGGUGCCGUAGGGAAGCCGCGAAGCGGGCCACUUGGGAAGUACGGCCGCAAGGCUGAAACUUAAAGGAAUUGGCGGG